GUUUGGCACCUCGAUGUCGGCUCAUCACAUCCUGGGGCUGUAGUAGGUCCCAAGGGUUGGGCUGUUCGCCCAUUAAAGUGGUACGCGAGCUGGGUUCAGAACGUCGUGAGACAGUUCGGUCCCUAUCCGUCGCAGGCGUAGGAAAUUUGAGAAGACCUGUCCUUAGUACGAGAGGACCGGGAUGGACGUACCUCUGGUGUACCAGUUGUCCUGCCAAGGGCAUGGCUGGGUAGCUAUGUACGGAAUGGAUAAGCGCUGAAAGCAUCUAAGCGCGAAGCCAACUUCAAGAUAAGAUUUCCCACCGCAAGGGUAAGACCCCAGAAAGACUAUCUGGUUGAUAGGUCGAAGGUGUAAGUGCAGCAAUGUAUUUAGCUUAUCGAUACUAAUAGGUCGAGGACUUGACCAAU
RNAcentral lists this ribosomal RNA (407 nucleotides) under Clostridioides difficile. RNAcentral describes it as "bacterial LSU rRNA". It matches the Rfam family "Bacterial large subunit ribosomal RNA", at positions 2516 to 2925 of the family's 2925-position model. Lineage: Bacteria; Bacillati; Bacillota; Clostridia; Peptostreptococcales; Peptostreptococcaceae. The record is from RNAcentral.